UUAUGGCUCAGGAUGAACGCUGGCGGCGUGCCUAACACAUGCAAGUCGAACGGGGUACUGGCAGCGGAGAUUCGGUCAAAGCAGCCUUUAACCUAGUGGCGGACGGGUGAGUAACGCGUGGGGAACCUGCCCUGUACUGGGGGAUAACAGUGAGAAAUCACUGCUAAUACCGCAUAAGCGCACAGCAUCGCAUGAUGCAGUGUGAAAAAACUGAGGUGGUACAGGAUGGCUCCGCGUUGGAUUAGCCAGUUGGCGGGUAACGGCCCACCAAAGCGACGAUCCAUAGCCGGCCUGAGAGGGUGAACGGCCACAUUGGGACUGAGACACGGCCCAGACUCCUACGGGAGGCAGCAGUGGGGAACAUUGCACAAUGGGGGAAACCCUGAUGCAAGCGACGCCGCGUGAAGGAAGAAGUAUCUCGGUAUGUAAACUUCUAUCAGCAGGGAAGAUGAUGACGGUACCUGACUAAGAAGCCCCGGCUAACUACGUGCCAGCCGCUGC
This 501-nucleotide ribosomal RNA is filed under the name uncultured bacterium. RNAcentral describes it as "bacterial SSU rRNA". It matches the Rfam family "Bacterial small subunit ribosomal RNA", at positions 17 to 518 of the family's 1533-position model. The record is from RNAcentral.